RNAcentral lists this ribosomal RNA (440 nucleotides) under uncultured bacterium. RNAcentral's name for it is "partial 16S ribosomal RNA". It matches the Rfam family "Bacterial small subunit ribosomal RNA", at positions 338 to 795 of the family's 1533-position model. The record is from RNAcentral.
CCUACGGGUGGCAGCAGUGGGGAAUAUUGCACAAUGGGGGAAACCCUGAUGCAGCGACGCCGCGUGAGUGAAGAAGUAUUUCGGUAUGUAAAGCUCUAUCAGCAGGGAAGAAAAUGACGGUACCUGACUAAGAAGCCCCGGCUAACUACGUGCCAGCAGCCGCGGUAAUACGUAGGGGGCAAGCGUUAUCCGGAUUUACUGGGUGUAAAGGGAGCGUAGACGGCGGAACAAGUCAGAAGUGAAAACCCGGGGCUCAACCCUGGGAGUGCUUUUGAAACUGUUUGGCUUGAGUGCAGGAGAGGUAAGCGGAAUUCCUAGUGUAGCGGUGAAAUGCGUAGAUAUUAGGAGGAACACCAGUGGCGAAGGCGGCUUACUGGACUGUAACUGACGUUGAGGCUCGAAAGCGUGGGGAGCAAACAGGAUUAGAUACCCCAGUAGUC